GACGAACGCUGGCGGCGUGCUUAACACAUGCAAGUCGAACGGAAAGGCCUCUUUCGGGGGGUACUCGAGUGGCGAACGGGUGAGUAACACGUGAGUAACCUGCCCUUGACUUUGGGAUAACUUCAGGAAACUGGGGCUAAUACCGGAUAGGAGCUCCUGCUGCAUGGUGGGGGUUGGAAAGUUUCGGCGGUUGGGGGUGGACUCGCGGCUUAUCAGCUUGUUGGUGGGGUAGUGGGUUACCAAGGCUUUGUCGGGUAGCCGGCCUGGGAGGGUGACCGGCCACAUUGGGACUGGGAUACGGCCCAGACCCCCACGGGGGGCAGCAGUGGGGAAUAUUGCACAAUGGGUGGGAGCCUGAUGCAGCAACGCCGGGUGCGGGGUGACGGCCUUCGGGUUGGAAACCGCCUUCGCUCAUGGCGAAGCUGUGUGUGACGGUAGUGGGUAAAGAAGCACCGGCUAACUACGUG
RNAcentral lists this ribosomal RNA (467 nucleotides) under uncultured bacterium. Its description in RNAcentral is "partial 16S ribosomal RNA". It matches the Rfam family "Bacterial small subunit ribosomal RNA", at positions 28 to 507 of the family's 1533-position model. The record is from RNAcentral.